Molecule: long non-coding RNA, 3249 nt
Filed under: Mus musculus (house mouse)
Lineage: Eukaryota; Metazoa; Chordata; Mammalia; Rodentia; Muridae
Description: cardiac hypertrophy associated epigenetic regulator 1
Source: RNAcentral
ACGAGGUGGGGUGGGGGUGGGGCUGCUAGGAAAGCACUGUGGAAUUCAGAGUGAGGAGGGACUGGAGGGAGCUGGGUCUCCAUUCUGCAUUUACUGGUAAGCCCCUGGGGUGCUGUGUGUUUUCUGAAGCUACCACAGCAAGUCACCACAAGGCUGUGACUGACACAACGAAAGCUUGCUGUCAUUCUGCAGACUAGUAGUCCAGCAUGGCCUCAGGGGACAACAUGAAGCCGUUGAUAUGACUGCAUCUCUUACUAGAAGAUUCUUAACCAAUUCCAAAGUCAUCUAGGAUGACAUUUCCUAAUACAGUGUAGAAAAGUCUAAUCUGAGAAUGUGAUGUCACUCACAUUCUCCAGUGGCUUUAUUAGAAUUUCUGUAUUAAAAAAACAUAAGGAAAAACCUCUUGACUGUUAAGGGGGAACUUGAGGAGAACAUCUCCGGGGAUUACUAAAUAUGAUGAUUUGAAGACUUUCUCAAGAUCUUCUCAGCAGGCUUUCAGAAGCUGGCUUCUACUUCUUUGUCUUGCUAGUGACAUUUGGGGACAGUGCUUAGAGGACUCAGGUUGCCUUCCCCUUGCUGCUGGCUUCUGGCCCUCUUCCUUCAUAUCCAAGGGGCCUCACGGAGUGCAGACUCGGUAUUCCAUCGGGCAGUUCUCGGUAAUCUGGUAACACGUGUCCGAUGCCAGUUCCAGUUCUCUGGUUGAAUCUGAUAGGUACAGAUCCCAAACCCAUGUUGGACAUGGUGUGGGCAGGAUAACCUGGCAGGCCUGGGAGUCAAAUGAAGAGAGGAGCUGAGGGCUGCUGCAAAAGUCUCAGGAUGGCUGACUUGUCUCCUUCUGAAGUUUCUAGACUUGACUCUGACACAAAGGCCUUUGGGAGAACAGACUCAAGGGACAAGGGGUGAUGCUUCGCUUCCCUCAUUGGAGCCCCUUUCAGAGGGGAAAACUCACAGGCAGGAACCUGCGUGCCAGCCCUGACCCAGAGCAACAGUGAACAGUCCCCGCUGUGUUCCACAGCGCUCAUCCAGAAACACUGCGGGGUUUCCAUCACAUUCUGCAGUCCACAGGAAACCUGGAAGCUGAGUCUUUUUCUUCUGUGAUCUCUGCCUCCCCUGCUGGCCUGUGCUCUAUGGGAGCUCAUUAGCUGAACCCCAGGACCAAGGACAAGCAAGCAGGGCUGAAUAGAGACUUUAUGAACAGCUGCUACUCCGUGGUGUUGUCUCCUUGUGAAGAAAGGGGUGAGCCUGGAAGUAGAAAGCAGGGGAUUUGGUUUUGUUAUUGCGUAAUCUUCCUGGAAGGCGGGCGAGGGGGGUGGUAAGAAGAGCAUUUGUCACUUGAACUGUCUGCUUGGGACAGUAUUCCCUGACCCCUUUCCAGGACUUCCAUAACUUGGCACUGAGUUGGCCCUUAAGUUGGCAAACAAACCUUGGCACUGAGCAACACUUAAGAGGUAGAAAGAAUGUUUUCAUGCCUUCAGCAGCUCCAGCAGACUCUGAAGGCUGAGCGGUAGCAGUUCUAUCGCCUGCCAUCCAGCCCCAGAGUAGAAGGGUCCGGCAUCUCCAGCCAGGUAGCCUGUAUGUCAGGCUCACAUAGGCUAUGUAUGGCAUCUCCAUCUCGGGAGAACAAGCGUUGAUGCUUCAGUUCUGGCCUCGUCAUUACCAAUGUCCUUCAAUGGUCCCUCUUUACUCUGAGGGGAGCAGAAAAGGGGGUCUCAUUUGGAUGCCAUGAGAUAAGCUAAUUUCUAGAACCUUCUCUAUCUUCUGUCAGUUCUAGUUUGGAUUAGCGAUUAGCUGUCAGAACCAGACAGACAACUCUACUCAGACAAGUACCAGAUGGGGAGCGCUGAGUCCUCGGGUGCCGAAGGGACCUCAGAUGAUUCCUACAGGGCCUGUGCUUUCUUCCCCUGCUUAGAGAACAGCACAUAGGUCCUUAGCGGCUUGCACAUAAACAUAAAUGAAAGAUCUUUAGCCCCAUAAGAAAGAAAAAAUAAACAAAAAACCCUGAGCAGCCUGGUUUGGGAUAAAAACAUGCAGUGUACAUGAUUUUUGUAAAAAUUAACUUUGGCCAGAGCACUUGGGAAGCAAGCAGCAUCUAAGCUGAGACAGGCAGUCAUGCCUGAAAACCUGUCUAGUUGACAAGCAUAUGCAAAUGAGGAAAGAGGGAGGCCUCCCUGGUCCUAGUCAGCAGGCUAGGCUGACGGCCAUGACAGGCUUCAAACUGACAGUUAAGGAGACUAGGCCUAAACCUCUGUUUCCAAGACCUGGGAAAUUCUUGGCGAGUCCAGGCCUGCCUCAGAAGGUGCCCCACCACCUGGCCUGAGGCAAGGACAAUGGAUGAGUCAGCUGCAGUUUCCAGAUCGACUCCCCCUAGCAAGUUUCCAGCCCCUCACACCUCAGUAAUGGAAUGUCUAUAGAGAUGGACCCAACAGAUUAACGUAGAGGUCACCUACCCCAGAAUUCCCUAAUGUGCUUUAAAUCAGGCCUGUAAGCUCACUUGGUUGACUCUCUCUGUUCUGGUAAUGGGAGAGCCCAGCAUGCUGGACUACAGAAUAAAACACUCUUUGUGUCUAUAUACUAUUCAAGUCCGGGCUUUCGUUCUUUGUGGAAAUAUGGACCCUUACAGUAGGAAGGAGGUAGCCUAGCAUGGUGUGAGGUACUGGGACAGAGCAAAGAGUCUUCCAGAGAAGAGGGUGAGAAGAGACUCUUGGCUCCAUGAAAAAGCUAAAGCCAGCAAGAACAUAAGGCGGGAACUUGAACAGUGUCAGAGCUGUGAGCUGAUCUGUGGGGUUUCUGCCCCUGGCUAGUGACGUAGCCCGGAGGAGUCCUUGCCACCCAUGCCUUCGGGUAGAGGAGGAGUAGGAUUUGCAGAGCGUUCAGAGCUUCAUCCUGGUACCAAGGCCCUUACCCACAGCUUUGCGGUGCUUGUCAUUAUGUACCCACAGUAAACCACAAUCCAAAAGUAUCAAAUGGGAAACUCUAAAAAUAAAUAACUCAAGAACUUGACAUUGCGGCCUCUGUCAGGAACUCUGCUCCCAUCAGCUCCCUCUGACUCCCGGAUGGGAAUUAUUCCCUCGUGCAGUAUAACCUCACCCUGCCCAUCAGCGCUUACUUCGUUCCCAGCCGUUUCAGCUCUCAGGCCUACUGUGGGGUUACAGUAAUCUAGAUCCACAUUAUGUUUAUGUUGUUGAUCUUGAGUUGUGCUUAAUUUUACUUAUUAAACUUAUUCUUACUAUGGGUAUCCAUAGGAAAACA